This 443-nucleotide ribosomal RNA is filed under the name uncultured bacterium. Its description in RNAcentral is "partial 16S ribosomal RNA". It matches the Rfam family "Bacterial small subunit ribosomal RNA", at positions 338 to 795 of the family's 1533-position model. The record is from RNAcentral.
CCUACGGGGGGCAGCAGUGGGGAAUAUUGGGCAAUGGAGGCAACUCUGACCCAGCAACGCCGCGUGAAUGAUGAAGGUCUUCGGAUUGUAAAGUUCUGUGAUGGGGGAUGAACACAAUGACGGUACCCCAAUAGCAAGCCACGGCUAACUACGUGCCAGCAGCCGCGGUAAUACGUAGGUGGCAAGCGUUAUCCGGAAUGACUGGGCGUAAAGGGUGCGUAGGUGGUUUAGUAAGUUGGCGGUGAAAUUCCGGGGCUCAACCUCGGCGCUACCGCCAAAACUGUUAGACCAGAGUGCGGGAGAGGUAAGUGGAAUGCCUGGUGUAGCGGUGAAAUGCGUAGAUAUUAGGAAGAACAUCGGGGGCGAAGGCGGCUUACUGGACUGUAACUGACGCUGAGGCACGAAAGCGUGGGGAGCGAACAGGAUUAGAUACCCUGGUAGUC